Molecule: ribosomal RNA, 492 nt
Filed under: uncultured bacterium
Lineage: Bacteria
Description: partial 16S ribosomal RNA
Rfam family: Bacterial small subunit ribosomal RNA
Source: RNAcentral
AUUGAACGCUGGCGGCAUGCUUUACACAUGCAAGUCGAACGGUAACAGGCCUUCGGGUGCUGACGAGUGGCGAACGGGUGAGUAAUGCAUCGGAACGUACCCAGAGGUGGGGGAUAACGCAGCGAAAGCUGUGCUAAUACCGCAUGUGAUCUGAGGAUGAAAGCGGGGGACCGAGCAGCAAUGUUUGGCCUCGCGCCUUUGGAGCGGCCGAUGUCGGAUUAGCUAGUUGGGGGGGUAAAGGCCUACCAAGGCGACGAUCCGUAGCUGGUCUGAGAGGACGACCAGCCACAUGGGGACUGAGACACGGCCCAGACUCCUACGGGAGGCAGCAGUGGGGAAUUUUGGACAAUGGGCGCAAGCCUGAUCCAGCAAUGCCGCGUGCGGGAAGAAGGCCUUCGGGUUGUAAACCGCUUUUGGCAGGAACGAAACGGUGUCCGCUAAUACCGGGCGCUAAUGACGGUACCUGCAGAAUAAGCACCGGCUAACUACGUG